GACAGUGAUGUCCAAGACAAGCCAGUCUCCAGUUAUCAUAUAAGAAAAUUCCACUGUGACCUGUGUCAGUAUUCAACUAACAAACAAAGUCACCUACGAGUCCAUCAGACAACUCACUCAGGUACCAAACCUUUCCAGUGUUCCAUGUGUGAAAAAACAUUCACAGCAAAAACUACAGUUGAAAGACACAUACGCUGUGUCCAUAAUGGUGUGCGUCCUUAUCAGUGC
Molecule: long non-coding RNA, 228 nt
Organism: Lingula anatina
Lineage: Eukaryota; Metazoa; Brachiopoda; Lingulata; Lingulida; Lingulidae
Source: RefSeq, a predicted model, not a curated record